Molecule: long non-coding RNA, 650 nt
Filed under: Aquilegia coerulea
Lineage: Eukaryota; Viridiplantae; Streptophyta; Magnoliopsida; Ranunculales; Ranunculaceae
Description: long non-coding RNA (ACOE_LNC002097)
Source: RNAcentral
AUAAUGCAUAUGCUGAUAUGCAUGCAUUAUAAGUUAUAACAUUACAAGUAGCAAUCUCUCUCUGUAUGACGACUAAGCUAGACCUAUAUUACAGGUAAAUUUUCUAAAAUUAGUAAAUAAACAAAACUGAUACCAUAUAGGCUUAUACAUCGUCUCUCUACAAGGGAACAACGAAGAUUACAUGAAGAGAAGGCUUAAGAUUAAGAAAUAUAUGCAAAUAAUCUCAGGCGUUCAAUUUGAAAAGGCGUUGAGAUCGAAAUCAAAAGUAAUGAGGAAUAUUAUAAUUCUUCUGGUUAUCUUGACCAUUUUAUCAGGUAAUAUUAUAUAUUGUUCUUGAUCUAUGAUCUAGUUUCUCUUUCUUUCCCCUUUCUCUCCUUUUCUUUUCUCUUUGACAAAAUGUUUAUUGAAUGUACAUUGUGAGAAUUUCUAAUAUUUCAAUCUGCAAAGGGGCAGUUCGAAAAUUUCAAUACCACAGGCCAUAAAAUGUGUAUCUACGUACAUCUCUUUUUAUAUAUUCAUAUAGUAACUGAAGCUAUUUUUAUAUUUCCAGCUUAUGUUGAAGGAUAUUCUUCCACUACUGGAAUAGAGACGAGGCGCAAUUUACGUGGAGGGGGUGGUAAAGGUGGUGGAGGGGGUGGUAAAGGUGGUGG